Molecule: transfer RNA, 84 nt
Filed under: Candidatus Iainarchaeum sp.
Lineage: Archaea; Nanobdellati; Candidatus Iainarchaeota; Candidatus Iainarchaeia; Candidatus Iainarchaeales; Candidatus Iainarchaeaceae
Description: tRNA-Leu
Rfam family: tRNA
About the family: Transfer RNA (tRNA) molecules are approximately 80 nucleotides in length. Their secondary structure includes four short double-helical elements and three loops (D, anti-codon, and T loops).
Source: RNAcentral
GCAGGGAUACCGUAGCGGUCAACCGGAGUGCGUUUAGGCCGCACUGGCUUAGUGCCUUCGCAGGUUCGAAUCCUGCUCCCUGCA